CGCACAUUGCGCCCAUUAGUAUUCUAUUGGGCAUGCCUGUUCGAGCGUCAUUUCAACCCUUAAGCUUAGCUUAGUGCUGGGAAUCUACUGUAUAUAGGUGAAUCCUACUCUGUAGCAAUUUAACCUACAGUAGUUCCUGAAAAUCAACGGCGGAACAGUAGUAUCCUCUGAGCGUAGUAAUUUUUAUCUCGCUUUGGUUAGGUGCUGCUGCUUUAGCCGCUAAACCCCUUAUUUUAAAUGGUUGACCUCGGAUCAGGUAGGAAUACCCGCUGAACUUAA
This 279-nucleotide unclassified non-coding RNA is filed under the name fungal sp. RNAcentral describes it as "partial contains 5.8S ribosomal RNA, internal transcribed spacer 2, and large subunit ribosomal RNA". Lineage: Eukaryota; Fungi. The record is from RNAcentral.